AUCUUGUGUGGGAAAUUUCCCCCUGCAGGUUUAUGAAAGUGUUGGACCUUGUACAUCCGGUUUGCAUUUAGUCUAUUUUUCAGUGACUCAAGUUUUUGUAUGCUUAAGAAAGUCAAGGGGAGAGAUGAGCAAUAGUUUUCUGAGAUUUGAGAAAUUGUGAAGAAAAAGAAUCUAUAAUCUCCCAAACUCUUCUUUACUCUUGAAAGUAGAUUUUUUAAAAUAUUUAUUUUUUAGAAGUAGUUGGACACAAUAUCUUUAUUUUGUUUAUUUAUUUUUAUGUGGUGCUGAGGAUCGAACCCAGGUCCUCACAUGUGCUAGACGAGCACUCUACCGCUGAGCCACAAUCCCAGCCCCCUUGAAAGUAGAUUUUUAAAAGUUCUCUUAUCAAGAUAAGCCUUUCAAUUCCUACUUCAUUUGUGAAGACCUGGUCCAAUUGAGUCUGGAAGUAUUUCUCAUGCUUUCUUCCUUAAAUUAUAGUCUUUCAAUGCUCACCAUUGUAUAUUGAUAUCUAAAUAUAAAUUUGAAGUUAAUCUAUUUUUCUCUACCUUGCUGAGUUUUAAAAUUAACUGCAAAAUUAAAAUUUAUAUUCAUUAUAAUAAUCCAAACAAUAUGGGGAAGUCUAAAGAAAAAAUUACUGUUCCCUUUCUAUCAGUGAUAGAUUAUCCAAUAUGUAGAGCAAAUAUGUACUUUGGACACUCACAAAUAUGGGGUACUUCAAAAUUAUUUUGAAAGACUGUUAUAAUUAAUAUAUCAGAAG
RNAcentral lists this long non-coding RNA (757 nucleotides) under Marmota monax (woodchuck). Lineage: Eukaryota; Metazoa; Chordata; Mammalia; Rodentia; Sciuridae. The record is from RNAcentral.